RNAcentral lists this unclassified non-coding RNA (335 nucleotides) under Mortierella pseudozygospora. Its description in RNAcentral is "sequence contains 5.8S rRNA gene". The stretch from base 1 to 53 matches the Rfam family "5.8S ribosomal RNA", at positions 102 to 154 of the family's 154-position model. Lineage: Eukaryota; Fungi; Mortierellomycota; Mortierellomycetes; Mortierellales; Mortierellaceae. The record is from RNAcentral.
GAACGCAUAUUGCGCUCUCUGGUAUUCCGGAGAGCAUGCUUGUUUGAGUAUCAGUAAACACCUCAAAUCCCUCUACUUGUUGGAGGAAUUUGGACUUGAGCAAUCCCAACUUUUCGAAAGAGAAGGCGGGUUGCUUGAAAUGCAGGUGCAGCUAGAUUCUUUCUUCUGAGCUAUAAGCAUACUUAUUUAAUCCCGUCAAACGGAUUAUUACUUUUGCUGCAGCUAACAUAAAGGUUGAAGAGUCGCUAUGGCUGACUGAUGCAGGAUUUAACAUUUCGCGCAAGCGAUUUGUAAACUCGAUCUCAAAUCAAGCAAGACUACCCGCUGAACUUAAG